AGUGAACGCUGGCGGCGUGCUUAACACAUGCAAGUCGAACGAGAACGGGAUAUAGCUUGCUAUAUUUGUCAGCUAAGUGGCGCACGGGUGAGUAAUGUAUAGGUAAUAUGCCUCUUACUAAGGGAUAACAAUUGGAAACGAUUGCUAAUACCUUAUAUGCCUUUAAGACUAAAGUCUGCAAGGGAAAGAUUUAUUGGUAAGAGAUUAGCCUGUAUUGUAUCAGCUAGUUGGUGAGGUAAUGGCUCACCAAGGCUAUGACGCAUAACUGGUUUGAGAGGAUGAUCAGUCACACUGGAACUGAGACACGGUCCAGACUCCUACGGGAGGCAGCAGUGGGGAAUAUUGCACAAUGGACGAAAGUCUGAUGCAGCAACGCCGCGUGGAGGAUGACACAUUUCGGUGCGUAAACUCCUUUUAUAUAGGAAGAUAAUGACGGUACUAUAUGAAUAAGCACCGGCUAACUCCGUG
This 468-nucleotide ribosomal RNA is filed under the name uncultured bacterium. RNAcentral describes it as "bacterial SSU rRNA". It matches the Rfam family "Bacterial small subunit ribosomal RNA", at positions 29 to 507 of the family's 1533-position model. RNAcentral also lists the same sequence under 1 other name. The record is from RNAcentral.